UGGGGAAUAUUGCACAAUGGAGGGAACUCUGAUGCAGCGACGCCGCGUGAACGAAGAAGGCUUUCGAGUCGUAAAGUUCUUUUAUAUGGGAAGAUAAUGACGGUACCAUAAGAAGAAGCCCCGGCUAACUACGUGCCAGCAGCCGCGGUAAUACGUAGGGGGCUAGCGUUGUCCGGAAUCACUGGGCGUAAAGGGUUCGCAGGCGGAAAUGCAAGUCAGAUGUAAAAGGCAGUAGCUUAACUACUGUAAGCAUUUGAAACUGCAUAUCUUGAGAAGAGUAGAGGUAAGUGGAAUUUUUAGUGUAGCGGUGAAAUGCGUAGAUAUUAAAAAGAAUACCGGUGGCGAAAGCGACUUACUGGGCUCAUUCUGACGCUGAGAAACGAAAGCGUGGGUAGCAAACAGG
RNAcentral lists this ribosomal RNA (403 nucleotides) under bacterium. RNAcentral describes it as "partial 16S ribosomal RNA". It matches the Rfam family "Bacterial small subunit ribosomal RNA", at positions 355 to 776 of the family's 1533-position model. The record is from RNAcentral.